AUUGAACGCUGGCGGCAGGCCUAACACAUGCAAGUCGAACGGUAACAGAAAGCAGCUUGCUGCUUUGCUGACGAGUGGCGGACGGGUGAGUAAUGUCUGGGAAACUGCCUGAUGGAGGGGGAUAACUACUGGAACCGGUAGCUAAUACCGCAUAACGUCGCAAGACCAAAGAGGGGGACCUUCGGGCCUCUUGCCAUCGGAUGUGCCCAGAUGGGAUUAGCUAGUAGGUGGGGUAACGGCUCACCUAGGCGACGAUCCCUAGCUGGUCUGAGAGGAUGACCAGCCACACUGGAACUGAGACACGGUCCAGACUCCUACGGGAGGCAGCAGUGGGGAAUAUUGCACAAUGGGCGCAAGCCUGAUGCAGCCAUGCCGCGUGUAUGAAGAAGGCCUUCGGGUUGUAAAGUACUUUCAGCGGGGAGGAAGGGAGUAAAGUUAAUACCUUUGCUCAUUGACGUUACCCGCAGAAGAAGCACCGGCUAACUCCGUG
This 490-nucleotide ribosomal RNA is filed under the name uncultured bacterium. RNAcentral describes it as "partial 16S ribosomal RNA". It matches the Rfam family "Bacterial small subunit ribosomal RNA", at positions 30 to 507 of the family's 1533-position model. The record is from RNAcentral.